AGAGACUUAGGUUAACUACAGACCAGGGGCCUUCAAAGCCCCAAGCGGGGGCUAGUAUCCCCCAGUCCCUG
Molecule: transfer RNA, 71 nt
Filed under: Cirrhitichthys aprinus (spotted hawkfish)
Lineage: Eukaryota; Metazoa; Chordata; Actinopteri; Centrarchiformes; Cirrhitidae
Description: tRNA-Trp
Rfam family: tRNA
About the family: Transfer RNA (tRNA) molecules are approximately 80 nucleotides in length. Their secondary structure includes four short double-helical elements and three loops (D, anti-codon, and T loops). Further hydrogen bonds mediate the characteristic L-shaped molecular structure. tRNAs have two regions of fundamental functional importance: the anti-codon, which is responsible for specific mRNA codon recognition, and the 3' end, to which the tRNAs corresponding amino acid is attached (by aminoacyl-tRNA synthetases). tRNAs cope with the degeneracy of the genetic code in two manners: having more than one tRNA (with a specific anti-codon) for a particular amino acid; and 'wobble' base-pairing, i.e. permitting non-standard base-pairing at the 3rd anti-codon position.
Source: RNAcentral